RNAcentral lists this non-coding RNA (78 nucleotides) under Candidatus Moduliflexus flocculans. Its description in RNAcentral is "Bacterium UASB14 c-di-GMP sequence". It matches the Rfam family "c-di-GMP-I-GGC riboswitch aptamer". Lineage: Bacteria; Candidatus Moduliflexota; Candidatus Moduliflexia; Candidatus Moduliflexales; Candidatus Moduliflexaceae. The record is from Rfam by way of RNAcentral.
CAUGUUAACGCCAAACCUAUUGUGAAAUAGGGACGGAAAGUUUGGGGUCUCAAUCAAGAGAUUGCCCGGCUGCCUUGA